GCUCACUUCAGCAGCACAUAUACUAAAAUUGGAAUGAUGCAGAGAAGAUUAGCAUGGUCCUGCACAAGGAUGAUACACAAAUUCAUGAAGCAUUCCAUAUUUUU
Molecule: small nuclear RNA, 104 nt
Organism: Varanus komodoensis (Komodo dragon)
Lineage: Eukaryota; Metazoa; Chordata; Lepidosauria; Squamata; Varanidae
Source: Ensembl